RNAcentral lists this ribosomal RNA (757 nucleotides) under uncultured bacterium. RNAcentral describes it as "bacterial SSU rRNA". It matches the Rfam family "Bacterial small subunit ribosomal RNA", at positions 9 to 740 of the family's 1533-position model. The record is from RNAcentral.
GAGUUUGAUCCUGGCUCAGGACGAACGCUGGCGGCGUGCUUAAGACAUGCAAGUCGAGCGGGGUGAUGGGGGGAGCUUGCUUCCUGCAUGACCUAGCGGCGGACGGGUGAGUAACACGUGGAUGACCUGCCCUUGUCACCGGGAUAACUGGCCGAAAGGCCAGCUAAUACGGGAUAAGCUCACGGGAUCGCAUGGUUCUGGGAGAAAAGGGGGCCUUCGGGCUCACCGGGCAAGGAGGGGUCCGCGGCCCAUCAGCUAGUUGGUAGGGUAAAGGCCUACCAAGGCGACGACGGGUAGCCGGCCUGAGAGGGUGACCGGCCACACUGGGACUGAGACACGGCCCAGACUCCUACGGGAGGCAGCAGUCGGGAAUUUUGCACAAUGGGGGAAACCCUGAUGCAGCGACGCCGCGUGGGCGACGAAGGCCUUCGGGUCGUAAAGCCCUGUCAGUCGGGACGAAGGCCCUGACCGGAUAAUGGUCAGGGGCUGACGGUACCGGCAGAGGAAGCCCCGGCUAACUACGUGCCAGCAGCCGCGGUAAUACGUAGGGGGCGAGCGUUGUCCGGAAUCACUGGGCGUAAAGGGCGUGUAGGCGGUCUGGUAAGUCAGGAGUGAAAAUCCCGGCUCAACCGGGAGGGUGCUUCUGAAACUGCCGGGCUUGAGGGCGCGAGAGGGUGGCGGAAUUCCCGGUGUAGCGGUGAUAUGCGUAGAUAUCGGGAGGAACACCAGUGGCGAAGGCGGCCACCUGGAGCGUACC